AACGCCGCGUGAGUGAAGAAGGGUUUCGGCUCGUAAAGCUCUGUUGGUAGUGAAGAAAGAUAGAGGUAGUAACUGGCCUUUAUUUGACGGUAAUUACUUAGAAAGUCACGGCUAACUACGUGCCAGCAGCCGCGGUAAUACGUAGGUGGCAAGCGUUGUCCGGAUUUAUUGGGCGUAAAGCGAGUGCAGGCGGUUCAAUAAGUCUGAUGUGAAAGCCUUCGGCUCAACCGGAGAAUUGCAUCAGAAACUGUUGAACUUGAGUGCAGAAGAGGAGAGUGGAACUCCAUGUGUAGCGGUGGAAUGCGUAGAUAUAUGGAAGAACACCAGUGGCGAAGGCGGCUCUCUGGUCUGCAACUGACGCUGAGGCUCGAAAGCAUGGGUAGCGAACAGGAUUAGAUACCCUGGUAGUCCAUGCCGUAAACGAUGAGUGCUAAGUGUUGGGAGGUUUCCGCCUCUCAGUGCUGCAGCUAACGCAUUAAGCACUCCGCCUGGGGAGUACGACCGCAAGGUUGAAACUCAAAGGAAUUGACGGGGGCCCGCACAAGCGGUGGAGCAUGUGGUUUAAUUCGAAGCAACGCGAAGAACCUUACCAGGUCUUGACAUCCAGUGCAAACCUAAGAGAUUAGGUGUGCCCUUCGGGGACGCUGAGACAGGUGGUGCAUGGCUGUCGUCAGCUCGUGU
RNAcentral lists this ribosomal RNA (681 nucleotides) under Lactobacillus gasseri. Its description in RNAcentral is "bacterial SSU rRNA". It matches the Rfam family "Bacterial small subunit ribosomal RNA", at positions 393 to 1065 of the family's 1533-position model. The record is from RNAcentral. Lineage: Bacteria; Bacillati; Bacillota; Bacilli; Lactobacillales; Lactobacillaceae.